Molecule: long non-coding RNA, 1218 nt
Filed under: Nicotiana tabacum (common tobacco)
Lineage: Eukaryota; Viridiplantae; Streptophyta; Magnoliopsida; Solanales; Solanaceae
Description: long non-coding RNA (NTAB_LNC012373)
Source: RNAcentral
AGCUUAGUUUAGGGUUUAAAACCAUAAUGCUAACUAAAGGAAAAAUUCAGUUUAGGGUUUUAAACCCUAAUGCUGACUGAAAGGAAAAAAUUUAGUUUAGGGUUUUAAACCCUAAUGCUGACUGAAAGGAAAAAUUCAGUUUAGGGUUUAAAACUCUAAUGCUGACUGAAAGGAAAAUUCAGUUUAGGGUUUAAAACCCUAAUUCUGACUGGAAGGAAAAGCUCAGUUUGAGGUUUAAAACCCUAAUGCUGGCUGAAUGGGAAAAAGUUCAGUUUAGGGUUUAAAACCCUAAUGCUGACUAGAAGGAAAAGCUCAGUUUAGGGUUUAAAACCCUAAUGCUGGCUAAAGGAAAAAUUCAGUUUAGGGUUUAAAACCCUAAUGCUGAUCGCAUGGAAAAGCUCAGUUUAGGGUUUAAAACCCUAAUGCUGGCUGAAUGGAAAAAAGUUCAGUUUAGGGUUUAAAACCCUAAUGUUGAAUGGAAGGAAAAGCUCAGUUUGGAGUUUUAAACCCUAAUGCUGGCUGUAUGGGAAAAAGUUCAGUUUAGGGUUUAAAACCCUAAUGCUGAUUGCACGGAAAAGCUCAGUUUGGGGUUUAAAACCCUAAUGCUGGCUGAAUGGAAAAAUGUUCAGUUUAGGGUUUAAAACCCUAAUGCUGAUUACAUGGAAAAAUUCAGUUUAGGGUUUAAAACCCUAAUGCUGGCUGAAUGGAAAAAAGUACAGUUUAGGGUUUAAAACCCUAAUGCUGACUAAAAGGAAAAUUUAGUUUAGGGUUUAAAACCCUAAUGCUGAUUACAUGGAAAAGCUCAGUUUAGAGUUUAAAACCCUAAUGCUGACUAAAGGAAAAAUUCAGUUUAGGGUUUAAAACCCUAAUGCUUAUUGAAUGGAAAAGCUCAGUUUAGGGUUUAAAACCCUAAUGCUGGCUGAAUGGAAAAAAGUUCAGUUUAGGGUUUAAAGCCCUAAUGCUGACUACAUGGAAAAGCUCAGUUUGGGGUUUAAAACCCUAAUUCUGGCUAAAGGAAAAAUUCAGUUUAAGGUUUAAAACCCUAAUGCUGAUCGCAUGGAAAAGCUCAAUUUAGGGUUUAAAACCCUAAUGCUGGCUGAAUGGAAAAAAGUUCAGUUUAGGGUUUAAAACCCUAAUGCUGACUAGAAAGAAAAGCUCAGUUUGGGGUUUAAAACUCUAAUGCUGGCUAAAGGAAAAAUUCAGUUUAGGGUUUAAAAC